Molecule: RNA transcript, 8844 nt
Organism: Zootermopsis nevadensis
Lineage: Eukaryota; Metazoa; Arthropoda; Insecta; Blattodea; Termopsidae
Gene name: blastoderm-specific gene 25D
Source: RefSeq, a predicted model, not a curated record
GAACCCAAAAUCUCAGGUUGUGAUAUUAGUAAUCUGUGAUUGUGACAUCAAGAAAUUAAUACGCAACGCUGUUUGACAUUUUGGAAUUAAAGCUUUAUCUGUUUAGAAACUUUCCGCAUACAUUUAUUGCUUCGUACGUUUGAGCCAGAAAGAUUUGGUUUUGUAUUGCGUUUCGUGCAUUAUACUGCCAUGAAAUGGAGAGGCGAGAACUUGAUCCUUAUGAGCAGCAAUUGUUGUCUGUAUUUGAAAGUUGUGAUCAGGAUCAGUCUGGGAGGUUAGAUGGUAAUGGACUAGAACAACUGUGUGAAAAAUUACAACUUGAAGAGCAGGGCAUUAAAUUGAUAAAAUGCUUGCUUGGAAGUUCUUCAAGCAAAAAAGUGACAUUUGCCGAAUUUAGAGACGGCCUUCUUACUCUCCUGGGUGAAGAUCAAGGUGAGCGACAAAAGAGAAGAGAAGGAGACAGGGGAUCUCCAGAACGAGAGGUAUCUCCAAAGUUUGUGUUUGGAAGAAAGAAAUAUGGGCGACGGUCUCGACCUGAAAGCACAGAUCAAGAUUUAACAAUUGAGGAAGAUGAAAAUUUGGAGCAUGCAAAUUUGAAGAGAUCAAGACCUGAAGCAUCCUCUCUUGAAGAUAUAAAGGAACAAAAGACAGAUAUACACAGUCCAGUGGGUAGGAAUGGACCUUGUCUUCAAGGAUGCCAAAAGUCAGGAAUGGCUGAAGUCAGUUUGCCUAGCUGGCAGGUGACAACAGAGGUUUCUGAGUUAUCUUAUGAGAAAGCUGCACCAAGGCUGAGUCAUGUUGCUGAGAAUGAAGAAGAGUGCCUUAGAGCUGCUUGGAAGAGGCUUGGUGUUGGCAAGGAUGGUUUUCUUGACAGAGGAGAACUUGCCCUCCUAUGUGAAUGUAUUGGUAUGCAGAAAGUGGCAGAGGAGGUUAUCCAGCAGUUGUUUGAGAAGUUGGAUGUUGAUCGUGAUGGCCACAUCAGUUUUGAUGAAUUUCUGCUGCUGUUUCAAAGUGGUAGAAGUUUGAUUCAACCAAAUGUUACCCACAUCCAUACAGAAGACAAGAGUAAUAGAAGAAGCCUGGGGAUAGACUUCCAGCAAUGUUCAGGCAAUACCAAGGAACGGAAAACUUUGGGAUCAUCAGACCAAGAUUUGCAGUUCUUGGCUCUGGACACAAACAGUGCUGGGUUUGUAAAUGUAGAGGUCAUAGUAGAGAUAUGGGAGGCAGCUGGAGUUCCAGGUCCAUCCCGUUUACUGCAGGAUUUGGGUUUCAAUGAUUGUCGACUCAAUGUAGCAGACUUGGCAGCUGUCUUGGAAGAGGAGCUGCGCUCCAUAGCUAAUGAGAGGAGAGAUGAUGAUGCUGCUGGAAGCAGCAUCCAUUGCUAUUCUCCACAUGAAGUUUUGCUUCAAGCAACAUUGGCUCUUUAUCAGACAGAAGUUCGUUGGCUGAAAUUGUCCCUGGAGCACAUGACUGGUGAGCGUGACAAGCUUCGAGCUGAUAUACAGGAUGCCAAUGAAAGAGCCUCACUUCUUGCUCAAGAAGUUGAUGACCAUCAUGCCCGACUUGAGAAAUACAGUCAGCUGCAAGUCAAGCUUUUGGAACAACAGCAUGCCAAACAGCUGAAGGAGCUAUCAGAACAGCUGGGAUUAGACAGAGAGCACUUUGCAGUCCAGAACUUAUCCCUGGAGAAAAGGGUGGCCAGUCUUGAGGAGGAGGAGUCUCGAUUGAGGAUGCAAGUUACCUCUCUUCAGUUGGACAAUGAGGUUUUGGACAAGGAAAACCAUAACUUGACAGAGCAGUUAUUAAAGUCAGAAGAAACAAGGGUACAAGUCCAAAAGGAAUUAGAAUCUUUGGCUGGACUUCAGCAACGUCUAGGUGAAAUGGAAGGCUGUGAUGAAAAAGAACAGGUCCUGCCAUUGGUUGAGAAAGUUAAUGAACUUCAAGCUGAAAACACAGGACUUCGAGAUCGUAAUGAUGAGUUAACAAUGGAAGUUGAAGCCCUUACAGCUAAACUGGCUGCAUUGAAGACAAAAAAGUCUCUUGUGAUUCAACCAAGUUGUGAGGCUGUGGACGGAGUGAUUUCGGUAGAAGGAACUCGAAUUCUAUCUGGAGGAUCUGCAACUAAGAGGCGGGGUAAUUUAGCUACUGAGGGCAACUCUGACGAGGAGAGCCCUCGACUGGAAAAAAUGCGCCGUUGCUGUGAUAGUAGUGGAGAUAACAAGGAUGCAUCAGUUGAGGCUGUUAAUAUGGAAGGUCUUCAAAUCCAUCAUAGUGAAAGUGGAGUGGAAGCUGAUUUAGGCAUUGAUGACUAUACAGACUCUGGUUUUGGGGGAGAAGGACAAGUAAGAGACCAUCAUUGCAGUGAGUGGGACAGCAGAGAAAUGUUGCCAUUAGCCUUGGAGUCAGGAUUGAUAUCAGACUUGAAGGCCCAUAUUGAAAAUUUAGAGCAAGAACUGAAACUGAAAAGUGAGAAACUUGUGGUUUGCGAGACAGAACGAAGUAGGCUGAAGUUGAAUAUUGCCAAGAGUCCUCAUAAUGUGGCUGCAGAGGAACCAGAUAACGAAAAGUCUGUGAAGCAACUGAAAGGUCAAUUGAAACAGGUUUUCCAACUGAUUCAAAAACAGAUCCUGGAAGAGUUUUUGGAAGAAGAUGGUAACAUCUCUGCUCUGCAGGAAUCUUGCAGUAGUCAUAACCAACGAACUGGACAGAUCGCUCUUCUGGAAAGGACCGAUGAUGGAAACAUGUCCACAGUUGAUAGCGCUCCUCUCCUACAGACUUCAGUCCCACUGUCCAUUAAUGGAAUAACCCUUGACCCCCUAGAAAAGGCCAAAGAUGUUGAACAAUUAGGAAACCAUUGUAGGAACUUGAAGUUUCAGUCAGAUCUAGUUAAUAGUAAAAUAGUGAAAAUUAUAUCUGAAAAGAUAGCUUGUUCCAAAGAAAACUGUGCCUUGAAGAUUCACAUAUCAGAUUUAAAGAAUCAACUUCCUGUGGACGAGGUAUUCAAAGAUGUUUCCUCUUUCCGAUCGUCUCAGAAUGAUCCCAGGUUUGACAUAUCUCAAGAAAUGUCCAGUCUUCAAGAAUACACAAGUGAUGUAGCUGAGUGUAUAAGAACUGAUUACAGUGAUGUUGCAGUAAAAUCUGUUUCAGUGAACCAAGUGAAAGAAAUUUUCUUUCUAAAUGGUAUUGAAAUGGGGGAAAUCAAAGGAGGAAAUGAUGUGCUUGAUUUAAUGGAGCAUGAUGAAAAACAGAUUACAAAAUUAGUGACAGAAGAAGGGGAUGAUAGUAAUGACAAAGAGAAACUUGAUUUACCUGAAAAGCUUAGUGAGCACAGCAUUUGUGCAAGAAGGAGUUCCUCUAGUUCAAUACUGCAAGUAGAGGAUUUAUCUAAAAUAUGGAUGAGGGAGGAGGAGACAUGUGCAGAAGAGAUCACAGUAUUGCGGGAGCGAUGCUGUCAAUUGGAGAGCAGCCUGGAAUUGUUACGUCAGGAGUAUGAAAAAUGUGAGGACUAUUGGGCAAACAAACUGGAAGAGGAACGUCUUCUGUAUGACCAGGAACAGAAACUCAGUGAUGAAAAGUUUUCAGAAUUGAUGUCCAAGAUUAGAGAAUAUGAGGAAAUGUUUGGUGCACAAGAAGAUGAUAGCGACAUGUUGUCAACAAUAGAAGAGAGAGGAAGUCUUGAGAAACAGUUUACAGAUUUGGAAGAAGAGUUUGUAGAAUUUAGGCAAAAGGUUGAGGUGGAACAAGCAGGGAAGGAAGAAGAGCUUGUUCGACUAAGAGAACAGCUGAAGACUGUGGAGCAACAGUAUAAGAAUACAGAGAACAAGUUGAAUGUGGCAGUGCAAGUUUCGGAUUUGGAGAACGGAAGUUGGGAAAGUGAUUGCAAGUUUGUUGUGGAACUGGAUGGAGCAAGGAAAGCAAUCCAACAUGAGACAGAGUCACAGAGAUUCAGCAAGGCUAGAUAUAGCAGUGGAUCAAGUUCUCCACAGAAAGGGCCAAGUACACAUUGCAAUCAUACAGAACUGAUUCAUCUUCAUAAUCUUAAGGAACAUUUGAAUGAGGAAUGUCAUGUACUUCGCCACCAGAAGGAAGUGCUGGAACAGGAAAUUAUGGAAAUUCAAACUCAAAACUCACAUUGUCAAAAUGCUGGUGUUGUAUUGCCUCCACAUUGGACAUCUGGUGCCAAGGUUGGUGGCCAAGCAUGUCGAAUAGAUCUUAACAUUCUACAAGCCCUGAAUUCUCGACUGCGGCAGCAGGAGCAACAGUGUCACCAUCUGCAGGUUGCUCUUAAACAACAGCAACAGCAGAGUGAAAACAUCCUAAAACGUACUAUGCAGGAACACAAACAAAAAGUUGCAUCUUUGCAGUCAGCACUGCAAACUACCCAAGAGAAACUGAAUCAACAGACAUCAGCCUACAAGGAGCAGAUGGAGCGCCUAGCAAGAACUGACAUUCUGGUGAAAGAUUUAUAUGUAGAGAAUGCAUAUCUUGUAGCAAACGUCCAGACGUUACAGCAGCAUUGUCAAGUGUUGGUCCAGAUGACUUCAGACUCCAGCUCUGUGUGAAAGAAAGGUGAUUCACAUUUUGUAAGAGGCAAGUCAUGAAUAUAGGUAACUGUCUCUAAUACAAGUUUUAUAAUCUUUGACAACAUAGGACAUUUAAGAGGAAUCUUACUAUGCAACUGGUACAUAAAUACACUAGAAGCAACAGCAAAGCCUUGUCUACAAAAUUCCAUCAUUACACAGCAGUAUACAUACAAAGACAGGUUAAAUUGGGACGCUGCUUAGGUCAGUAUCUCAUACUGAUGUUGGCUGCAUAUAUAGGGUAAGAGAUUCAGUAUGGCUUAUUGAGCUCAGUGUUAAUAUAUGUGCAGGUCAUGUACCUUUAUAUUCCACAUCUAUGACAGAAAUGUUGAAUUAAUGUCUUGCUAUUAUGUUUUCUUUUGUAUAUGCACAUAUCAAGUAGAAUAUUUUACAUUCUUAAACAUUGAUGUCUUGAAAGAUUUUGUGUAAUGAAUAAUUACUAAAGUUUAAAAAUGUAAUGCAACCGAGAGUUCCCCCAAUGCCAGCACUUGUAAAGUGGCUAGUUAGGGAAUAAAUUGUACUGCUUUCCACCAUUUGUUGUGGCAUUUGGUAUCAUAGGCUGUUGCCAUACCUGCCCAUCCCCCACAAAAAGACAUGUUCUACUGUGAACCUUAUGUGGGAAGGAAUCAGAGUACUUCAACUGGCUGAAUCUCAUUAUCUCUCUAACUUUCCACAUGCAUAAGGGAGGCAGGGACUAGUCAGAAGUCAGGUUGCUUAUCUAGAGUUCUUUAAUAUGCAUAUAUAUGUACAUGUAUUACAUUCAUUUACUGAACAAUUUCUAUUUACUGUAUUCCUUAGUUUCCCACUCCUUUUCUCUCUUGAAAUUCUCUCUGCAUAAUUUUUGCUCUCUAUCAGGACUUGUUACCCACAAAAUUGGCUGCAGUCCUAGUGUGCCAUGGGUAGCCGUAACGAAAGGGUUACAGCUAAUUUAGCGAUGAUGAAUUCACUAGCUUUAUGAAUGUGGUCGGACGGGCAUGCACGGUUGUCCUUGUUAUAGCUCCAACCCUUCUACCUUUUUCCUGUCCACUGUGUGGGACUGUGUUGUGAAGGAACUUUGAAGACCACUUCUUUUUUUUUUCUGUGCAGGCUUUCACCCGAUGUACUUCAUCGAAAUUAUAGUUCGGCUUGGUACUUCAGAAUUGUGUUCCGCUUUGAGGGGUUAUCCCUGUACAGGCGGUUGACCGGUGGGACGUCCGCUGUGAUCAUGUUGGAACCAGAAGAAGCAUUAGCUGUGAUGUUGCUGUUUGGAAAGAAUGAAAGUAGUAGGAGGAGGAAGAGAAGAAAACUAUGGGUACAUUCAGGGCUGACUACUUAAUCGAGUACUGGUGCAUUUUAUACACUACUUAAUGAACAGCAAGAAGAUUCUGGAAAAUUCUCCAUCUGCUUUAAAAUGUUGCCUAAGUCAUUUGAUGAAUUGAAAAGUGUGCUGACAGAUUCAAUUUAUGAGUGGUGUACCAACAUGUGAAGAUAAUACCAGGAAAGGAAAGCUUAGCUGUAACAUUAUGGUAUGUAUUGCAUAUUCAUUUAUUUUUCCUUCUAUGUCAUUCCUAUAGUAGCCGUCACCAGAUUGCUUGCUUUAAGGCCAUGAAAGGACUUCACCCAUCCCCCUGCCAUGCAGCUCUAAGUCAAAACAAUACACCAUUGUUAGCUUUGCUGGAGUGUGAGUUCUCAGUUGUCUUCACUCACCUGGGCAACGCUGUUCAGUGCAGUGCAGCGAUGUAUGAUUUUUCUGUGACUAUAUAACACAGUUUGAUGACAGCUGCUGUAAUUGGUAGAAAUAAUAACUGAACUUAAAUUUUCUGUAUCCAUUGCACCUCAGAUUUGAAAACUUUUAAUAUGUUAAAUGGUUAUGAAACAGCAGCAUUAUCAGUUUUUAAAUAGGAAAUAUAAUAAAUUGACUGUUUUAUCAAAAAUAUUAGCUAACACUUUGAAAUGCAGUGGUUGCAAAAUCACUUAUGCAUCAAAUUUAACAUUUACAAAAUACUGUAUUCAGCCUACAGAGAGCAUUCUUGGGUUUCAUGUGAUUAUCAGAAGUAGCUAUAAUUUUCCUACACAUUUUAAUUUUCUAUAUGAAUUGGAUGCAGUGAAGUAGAAACCGAAGUUUUUUUUAUUUUUCAUGAAUUUUAGGCUUUACAUGGUAAAUUAAUAUUUGUGGACUCUUCACUGUAUCAUCAAUUAUAUUCAAGAGGCUCAAAGAAUUUGACAAUUGGCUGUCCGAGUAACACUGAGGACCAUUCACUGUUGGAGCAGUAGAGAAAGUCAGACUGUUUUGCGGGGCUCUGGUUGGUGCUGAGCUACCCAAGUAAUUGUAUAGUGGUUGGGAAUGAAAGUAAACCAACUGUGUGCGUAUAGUGAGAUCGAGGUUGUUGGCUGUAAUAGAGAGUGGAAUUCAGUGGAUAGCUUGAAGCUCUUGCAGCAGUUGGACUAUCCAUGAACUUAUAUUUCUUAAUAGUGGAUAUAAUUUACAUUUUUACAUCUAGUUUCAUUUUUUGUGGGAGGGGGAGGAUAGAUCUGUCUUCCUAAACUAAUGAAAGUAUAAAACUUCUCAAUAGCUCUUCUUUGUUUAAGACUCAGUAAGGAUGUUGCACAUCUUUUCUGUUGCUACAUCAAAACAGAGUUGUGAGUUUGUAACUUCUAUUCAUUUAGUAGCCUUCUUAGGCACCUUUGGGUUGGAAAAAUGUGUAUUUCCGUGGUACAUUCUUCUGAUGCUGAUAGAGUUUCUGCUUCAGAAGGAUCACUGUUAUCCAUGCUUGAAAUAGUCCUGAAAUUUAAAAUAUUUUUCCUGUAUUGCAUGUUUGAUUUAACACUCUUCAAACAUAUGUGUUUGAAUAUAAGUGCCUUGAACUUAAGUGAUUUCAAAUUUGGUUCUUUGCACUGUAUUUGGCUCCGUGAGAGGUAAGGCACCACCUUGUAACUGUACUUCUUGUUAGUGAUGACAGGUACUAAGAUUGAAAGAAUGAGAGUUGAUCAUCAUAAACAUAUAUCUUCCUCAUUGCUUCUGCUCCUUAUACCAGAGGAGUGAAUUUUAUUUUUUGUAUUCUCUUGAGAAUGAAUUUCUAAUGUCUUUCCACUUGCAUUGAAGCUCAAGUCCUGAAAUUAAGUUACUAGGUAAUAUUCACUUCAAGGUGAACUUACAGGUCAGAUUUCUUUCCAGGUUCCUUGGAUCAGGCUGUGCAUUAACAGAACCAAUAAUAUUACAGAAUUUGAAUUUUAACACUCAAUAAUAUCAUUCAAAAUGUUUGCAAGAAAAUAUGGAUUCUUGUAAAAGGCAUCUGCUUGCAUGAACCAAAUAAAUAUCUGUGGCAAAAUACUGCAGAUGAUAGACAAACUUUCCCAAUUGCAUAGCGGCCAUUGGUGGGAAACACAGUUGAUAAAACCAGAACAUAGUGGAUCACUAAUUUUAAAUUAUGGAAACUACGCUUCUAUUGUGCAUUGAUGUGAAUUACUAUUUAAUUGCUUUUGACGUUGAUAGAUUUGGGUAGAGUUCUUAUUCAUCCAUUGUCCUGAACUCAAAACUGUGGAAAAAGUUGAUUUCCAACAAACUUGAUAUUCCAAAUCCCAUUGAGUUACCUGGCAUAGACAAACCUAAGCUGCCUCACAUUUUUGUGCAGAUGAGACAUUUGGUCUACCAAGCCAUGUCAUGUGCCCAUAUGGAGGAAAGAAUUUACGAAUGCAAAAAGGGUCUUAAAUUAUUACUUGUCAAGGGCAUGGUGAUUUGUUGAAUGCUCAUUUGGAAUACAUUCAAAUAAGUGGUGAAUUUUUCACAGGUCAUCAGAUGUAUUUUUGGAAUGUUAUGAAUAUAUUGUAAAACGUUAUGUAAUACUGCAUAAUCUUGUGUGACAGAGAGACAGCUUUCAGUUUUAGAAUACUUUAUGUUUUGAAGGAUUAAAAAAUUUUCGGUGUAGAGAACAGAGUAGUGGGAAGACACCUAAUGCCAUUUUCAAUACAUUUUCGGAUUAUUUUGCAGUUGUUGGUGAGUUGCCAUUGCAGUAUACAUAAAUGUGAAGUGUUUUAGAAUGAAGUGAAUAAUUAUCUCGUGCAUCAUUUGUAGAAUGUACUGCUUUCAGGUUUAUGUAUUGUAACACUUCAGAAUCUAUAUAAUUCACUGCAGACGUUUGUAACAAAAAUUACUUGUUCCUUAGCAAUGUUACAAUAAACAAUGAGUUAUGAACAGAACUCAGAAAGCCAGACAGCUUGGUGACUUCAUGAGCCUUCUUUAUUUACUUAAGGAAACCAGGCUAAAAAUAAAAAUUAAGAAAUUGCA